Molecule: ribosomal RNA, 482 nt
Filed under: uncultured bacterium
Lineage: Bacteria
Description: bacterial SSU rRNA
Rfam family: Bacterial small subunit ribosomal RNA
Source: RNAcentral
GAGUUUGAUCAUGGCUCAGGACGAACGCGGCGGCGUGCCUAAUACAUGCAAGUCGAACGCUUCUUUCCUCCCGAGUGCUUGCACUCAAUUGGAAAGAGGAGUGGCGGACGGGUGAGUAACACGUGGGUAACCUACCCAUCAGAGGGGGAUAACACUUGGAAACAGGUGCUAAUACCGCAUAACAGUUUAUGCCGCAUGGCAUAAGAGUGAAAGGCGCUUUCGGGUGUCGCUGAUGGAUGGACCCGCGGUGCAUUAGCUAGUUGGUGAGGUAACGGCUCACCAAGGCCACGAUGCAUAGCCGACCUGAGAGGGUGAUCGGCCACACUGGGACUGAGACACGGCCCAGACUCCUACGGGAGGCAGCAGUAGGGAAUCUUCGGCAAUGGACGAAAGUCUGACCGAGCAACGCCGCGUGAGUGAAGAAGGUUUUCGGAUCGUAAAACUCUGUUGUUAGAGAAGAACAAGGACGUUAGUAACUGAAC